Long non-coding RNA from Diprion similis, 653 nucleotides. RefSeq lists it as uncharacterized. The transcript is spliced from 4 exons. Lineage: Eukaryota; Metazoa; Arthropoda; Insecta; Hymenoptera; Diprionidae. The record is from RefSeq and is a predicted model, not a curated record.
CGAUCGUCGUAUCUAUAAAAUUAAAUGAGGAAGUAAAAGACCUUCGGUAACGUAACAGGACAACUCUUGCACCUCUCUUAGUUCGUCUCUAACAGGAAGCAAAAGUCUCAACUGAAUUAGGCCGCAUUCGAAUUGUUCAUCCUUCAAAAGGCCUGCAUCACGAUCCGAAUUAGUGAGGAUGAAUUUUCUCUCUUGGGAACCAAGCAGCAAUACCGAUCCGGUACCAAGGCUGACAGCGACUUGAAACGAAUCUCAAGGUUAACUCACGGCAUGAUCUCACCACACCUCAGACUACAUCGUGUGGAUGCAGGCAAAAUUGAAUUGCUUUCGCUGACUAUAAUAUCAUGGGAAUGCGAGACGUCCCAUCCCACGCAACUUGAGGCUAACCGGAUUAAAAACCAGAUGAGGCUCACAGAAGUAUGCAAGCUUGGGAAUACUAACGAUACAGGCCUGAAGCUGAGGCUAAUUUUGGGAGAAGGUGGAUCUUUUUGCUUCCUGUUGAUCUAUAAGGUAAGGAUUUCCAAUACCGACUAAAUACGCAUGCGCGAUAUAUUCGGUGGGCGAAAUGGGCCUGAAGGUACAGUUUUCUACACUUACCGACUCGUUCAAAUGGAUCGCGGUCUGAAUCCAGUCGGUAAUUGCAGAAAACUAAA